CCCGCACAAGCGGUGGAGCAUGUGGUUUAAUUCGACGCAACGCGAACGAACCUUACCAGGUCUUGACAUCCCGAUUGCUAUUUCUAGAGAUAGAAAGUUACUUCGGUACAUCGGUGACAGGUGGUGCAUGUUGUCGUCAGCUCGUGUCGUGAGAUGUUGGGUUAAGUCCCGCAACGAGCGCAACCCCUAUUGUUAGUUGCCAUCAUUCAGUUGGGCACUCUAGCGAGACUGCCGGUAAUAAACCGGAGGAGGUGGGAUGACGUCAAAUCAUCAUGCCCCUUAUGACCUGGGCUACACACGUGCUACAAUGGUUGGUACAACGAGUUGCGAGUCGGUGACGGCGAGCUAAUCUCUUAAAGCCAAUCUCAGUUCGGAUUGUAGGCUGCAACUCGCCUACAUGAAGUCGGAAUCGCUAGUAAUCGCGGAUCAGCACGCCGCGGUGAAUACGUUCCCGGGCCUU
Molecule: ribosomal RNA, 460 nt
Filed under: uncultured Streptococcus sp.
Lineage: Bacteria; Bacillati; Bacillota; Bacilli; Lactobacillales; Streptococcaceae
Description: bacterial SSU rRNA
Rfam family: Bacterial small subunit ribosomal RNA
Source: RNAcentral